RNAcentral lists this long non-coding RNA (3668 nucleotides) under Triticum aestivum (bread wheat). RNAcentral describes it as "long non-coding RNA (TAES_LNC003022)". The record is from RNAcentral. Lineage: Eukaryota; Viridiplantae; Streptophyta; Magnoliopsida; Poales; Poaceae.
CCCAUUUAAUUUUGUUUUUUCUUAUAUCAAUUCAUUUUCAUAGAAAUCAAACACAAAUAGAUUUAUAUGACCAAUAUAGCAUAUUCAACACAUAUUACCAAUAGUCAUGAACACAUAUGUAUCCAACACAUGUUACCAAUAGUAGCAAGUUUCAUCCGUACAUAUACAUAGUUUCAUCAAUAUUACACAGUUUCAUCCAUAGGUAGCAAGUUUCACAAGGUCAAAACAAAAACUCGACCAUAACGAGGACCAUAACGUAGUCGUUGGCCCAACUCGGCUGCACCACACCGAGGCACUAUUGUUCCAUCGAGCUCGACCAUGUGCGGGGCUUCGUCAUCGUCAUGGAGGUCCCGGUGGUCGUCCUGGUCCCUAGAAAGUGCACCUUAUUAUUUCAUUUCAGAGAAAGCGUGAAACACGAAUGGCAUGUAUGUAGAUCCCCAGGACAAGCAAACUUAGCUAGUAAAUAUGAACAAGGACUACUAUAGCAUAGGAUGUAAGUACUGGUGACUACUAGACCUAUAUUAAAAGUAAACAGAACUAGCUCGGAUAACAACUCUAUAGCACUAAUGUUGAUGCAUUCAAGUUACUACCAUUCAAGUAUGCAUACAUAUCAUAAUGUUCCAAGUAUGCAUACAUAUCAUACACAUCAGUGACGUUAACUUGUUCAUAAGAUUCAUAACACUAAGUGCCAAAUCCAUUGAUUUGUAUAAGAAGGUGCCAUAUCCAUUAAUUCACAUGCAAAGGCAAAGAGUGCUGCUGAAAUUAACAAUGCGUGCUUCAUCAAAUUUUCUUAAUUAACAGUGCCAAGUUAAUAAGUGCCUUGCUUGUGUAGAUCCAUUAAUUCAUGUUAAUCAGGAAACAAUGCACCCAAAUCACAAAAUCAAAACACGCAAUGUUAAAAUACAUGGACAAAGUGCCAACAUAUGAUAUGAUUUUCUUGAACUGUGCAAGCAGCAUCACAGAUAACUCUUAUGAACAUAUGAACCUGUGCCAAAUACAAUAUAUGAAUAAAGUGCGAAGCAACAUCAUGGGCAAAAAUUACAAAAAAACAUGGUGGAAUAGAGGGGAUGGGGAGAAGCAAAGCCUCACUGGAUGUUAAGGAGGAGCACGAGGAAGUGGUGCCGCAGGCCCCGCACUGACGGCGGGCGGGCGGGCGGCCUCCAGGCCAGGGGGUUGCCAGUGAGAUCCAGGAGGAUGGUCAGGUCGCCGUCGGGCGUCGGCCUGCUCCCUCCUCUUCUCUUGCCCUGCUCAUUCCAUCCUCGUCUGGGAGGCCGAGGACGCGUUGAUCAUGGUCAUGGCGGUUGACGGUCCAGAUCUGGAAAAAGGUAAGAGAGGUGAGGGAAAUUGGAAGCUGAAACAAACAGUUUUUCCUUCAAGUAGAAACUUCUUUUUUGCCUUCAUUACCUCACAGAUUCAAAUACAAAGGUAGGCACCCUGACUCGAUGUUAACCACAACAUGCCUCCUCACAACACAAGCAAAACCAACUCAUCAGACCUGCAAUCAGGAUAACAACAUAUCAUUCAGAGUUCAAACCGAGUAAACAAACAUAAGUAGCAGGCACUAGGGCAUCCAAAGUUUAACUAUGUCAAGAGCUAAAAACAAUCAGCACGUCAUAUAUGGCAAUCUGCAAGAGCUAAAACAAGAGCCAAAUAGAGAGGCCAAGCCUUUCUCCCUUACAAGACAGUGUCGUAAAAUGACCAAGAACAAAUACCGUCUGAUUCCAAAAUAAAGAUGUGAGAGUCUACAUCAAUUAUAAAUUCAAAGUGAACAUUUUAUCAAAGAAACUCAACUAGCAGAACUCAUGUAAGCCCAUAUACUCGUGUUGUUUUUACUUGUCAUGUAGAAACAGCAUGAACAUCACUACUUAAAGCAUAUCAGCAAACAAUCACAUUGCAAUAUGUGUGUAGAAAGUGCAUGCAAACUACAUAAAUAGAUCUAACUAUCAUAUAAGCUAGUGAUAUAUUCCUACACAAACAUCUCAUAUGAGAUACUAACUAGGAGUAAUUCUUUUAUCCUGUCAAAACUGUAGCUGCUACACAAUCAGCACUACACUUCCAUAUUUAUCUCAAAAUUAGAGAUAAUGAUCUAGUUAAUAUCAUGUGCAGUUCUGUAAAUCUCAACGAGACAAGUGCAGCCAGAAGUUUCAGUUUUAAUACACACAAGGGGCCUUAUUCUGCAGUUCAAUAACUUGGUGAGAUUCUUUUAAAUUGCUGCCGAUAACUACUAGGAGUAAUAGUGAGGCUGCAUUGUCAAUAUAACCAUGCACACAAGGACCACCCCACCAGAUGUAUAUGUCCAAGUUUGCAUAUAGAAGUAAAAAGAGGAUGUUGAGAAGAAGGUCUGAGCGAGAGACUCUCUUUUCUCCUCAGUGAGCUCAGUUUUAAAAAAAGAGGUAUGUGGUUCUCUUUUUUAUGCAGAGAAAAUAUUGUAGUUUGCAAAAAACUGCAGUAUUAAAAUCACAGUUUUUAGAGACAAUCAAACAAACCUUUGUAAUAAAAACCACAGUAUUAUAAAAAGCUGCAGUAUUCUAAGAAUACUUCGAAAAUACUUUGUUAUCAAACGGGGCCUCAGCUACCUAGCCAUUAGCAGUGCAAGCACACGCCUGCUGGCCGGAGCUGAUCAACAUGCUCAGCUAGCUAACAUACGGGCCAUCCCAUCAGGAGUCCGGAGGAAGAAACAACCAGCUCAUAUGUCCCUCUCACUCCUUCCCGCCGGCUGAGCCGAGCUGAGCCACCGUUCCAUGCACUCGCAGCCCCACCCCAUACUAAGGCCCCGUUUGAUAGCACAGUAUUUUCAAAGUAUUCUAACAAUACUGUAGUUUCGUUUAAUACUAAAGUUUUAAUUACAGUGAGGUGUUUGGUUACCCAUAAAAAUUGCAGUGUUAAUACUAUGUUAUUCUCAAAACCUAUGCCAUCAAAUGAUCAAACUGGAGCUGAUAUUAAUUUGGUUUAGUCAAGAAAAGAGACUUGAGUUUCCAUAAGGAAAACACAUGUUACUACUAUGUACUUUGUAAGAAGUGGACCUUGAAAGUAGGUAUCGUCAGAAUCAGAUAGGAACAAACUGUAAUUUCAGACGCAUUAUUAUACUUAUUCGUGCACUCUUCUUUCCCUAGUCCCAAGCCUUACUGAAUCUGAAAUAUUUCUAGAACCUGAAUCUGAAUUAUCUCCCAGGUUUCUGAAUCAAAAUGAUUCUAUCUUAGUUGGAAAUCGAUAUUUUUCUUGUUGUUGCGGUGGGGUUGGAAAUCGAUCUCGUGAGAGAGUAAUAAUAACAAGUGAAGCUCUGAAACGAUGGAACUUUGUAGAGAUACGAUACGGAAGGGGAGAGGCGUUGGUACCGUACCGUAUGUAUAGAGGAUGGGGUCAGUGGACGACGGAUCUGGUGAUGAAGCAGCCCGGUGGGAAGGGAAUCCGGAGGAAAACGAUGCCCUCCGCCAGCCUAUGUAUGCAUCUGGACCGAGACGCGCCCGACCGAUACCGAUGCCGCGGGAAGGGGGCGACGCCGUGGCCUGGCUCGGUGGAGGGGCGGGCUGCGGUGGCGGGGAGGGCCGCGGGGCACGCCGCGGUGGCCGGGAGGGCCGCGGUGGCCGGGAGGGCCGCGGGGAGGGGGCGGCGCCGCGGCCUGGAACGGUGGAGGGACGGGCGCAGGGGCGGGCUGCGGUGGCGGGGAG